UCGCACAAAUACGCUGGCGGCGUGCUUAACACAUGCAAGUCGAACGAUGGAUAGCCCUUCGGGGUGGAUUAGUGGUCGAACGGGUGAUUAACACGUGGGCAAUCUGCCCUGCACUCUGGGACAAGCCCUGGAAACGGGGUCUAAUACCGGAUAUAACCGUCCAUCGCAUGGUGGAUGGUGUAAAACUCCGGCGAGUGCAGGAUGAGCCCGCGAGCCUAUCAGCUAGUUGGUGAGGUAGUGGCUCACCAAGGCGACAACGGGUAGCCGGCCUGAGAGGGCGACCGGCCACACUGGGACUGAGACACGGCCCAAACUCCUACGGGAGGCAGCAGUGGGGAAUAUUGCACAAUGGGCGAAAGCCUGAUGCAGCGACGCCGCGUGAGGGAUGACGGCCUUCGGGUUGUAAACCUCUUUCAGCGAGGGAAGAAGCGAAAGUGACGGUACCUAGCAGAAGAAGCGCCGGCUAACUUACGUGCCAGCAGCCGCGGUGGAUA
Molecule: ribosomal RNA, 494 nt
Filed under: Streptomyces sp. BC590
Lineage: Bacteria; Bacillati; Actinomycetota; Actinomycetes; Kitasatosporales; Streptomycetaceae
Description: bacterial SSU rRNA
Rfam family: Bacterial small subunit ribosomal RNA
Source: RNAcentral